UAAGACAUGGUGUUUUAGCACGUUAAUUUUUGAKAUUAAAAGAAGUAGGUAAAUACUAGUUGUUUUAA
This 68-nucleotide transfer RNA is filed under the name Tullbergia bisetosa. RNAcentral describes it as "tRNA-Gln". The record is from RNAcentral. Lineage: Eukaryota; Metazoa; Arthropoda; Collembola; Poduromorpha; Tullbergiidae.